This 332-nucleotide ribosomal RNA is filed under the name Aplysia cf. juliana. RNAcentral's name for it is "eukaryotic LSU rRNA". It matches the Rfam family "Eukaryotic large subunit ribosomal RNA", at positions 34 to 359 of the family's 3401-position model. Lineage: Eukaryota; Metazoa; Mollusca; Gastropoda; Aplysiida; Aplysiidae. The record is from RNAcentral.
UUAAGCAUAUAACUAAGCGGAGGAAAAGAAACUAACAAGGAUUUCCCUAGUAACGGCGAGUGAAGCGGAAAGAGCCCAGCACCGAAUCCCCCAGUGUGACGCUGGCGGGAACUGUGGUGUGUGGGACGCCACCAGUCGCGCGUACGAACACCGAAGUCCUCCUGAUCGAGGCUUCACCCAGAGCGGGUGUAAGGCCUUUGCUGGUGCUUCGUUGCGCGGCCGCGAGCGUCUCAGGAGUCGGGUUGUUUGAGAAUGCAGCCCAAAGCGGGUGGUAAACUCCAUCUAAGGCUAAAUACUUGCACGAGUCCGAUAGCGGACAAGUACCGUGAGGG